This 434-nucleotide ribosomal RNA is filed under the name uncultured bacterium. RNAcentral's name for it is "bacterial SSU rRNA". It matches the Rfam family "Bacterial small subunit ribosomal RNA", at positions 917 to 1350 of the family's 1533-position model. The record is from RNAcentral.
GGGCCCGCACAAGCGGUGGAUUAUGUGGUUUAAUUCGAAGCAACGCGCAGAACCUUACCAAGGCUUGAAAUCCUUCGAAUCCCGAGUAAUUUUGGGAGUGCCCGCAAGGGAAUGAAGUGACAGGUGCUGCAUGGCUGUCGUCAGCUCGUGUUGUGAAAUGUUGGGUUAAGUCUCGCAACGAGCGCAACCCCUAUCUUUAGUUGCCAGCAUUAAGUUGGGCACUCUAGAGAGACUGCCCGGGUUAACCGGGAGGAAGGUGGGGAUGACGUCAAGUCCUCAUGGCCCUUAUGCCUUGGGCUACACACGUAAUACAAUGGUUGGUACAGAGGGAAGCGAUCACGCGAGUGUUAGCAAAUCUCAAAAAGCCAAUCUCAGUCCGGAUUGGAGUCUGCAACUCGACUCCAUGAAGUUGGAAUCGCUAGUAAUCGUGGAUC